This is a non-coding RNA of Ramularia collo-cygni, 71 nucleotides long. The record is from the annotation of a RefSeq genome assembly. Lineage: Eukaryota; Fungi; Ascomycota; Dothideomycetes; Mycosphaerellales; Mycosphaerellaceae.
GCUUCAGUGGUUUAGUGGUAAAAUUAAUCGUUGCCAUCGAUUAGCCCCGUGUUCGAUUCACGGCUGAUGCA